RNAcentral lists this long non-coding RNA (630 nucleotides) under Citrus sinensis (sweet orange). RNAcentral describes it as "long non-coding RNA (CSIN_LNC004479)". The record is from RNAcentral. Lineage: Eukaryota; Viridiplantae; Streptophyta; Magnoliopsida; Sapindales; Rutaceae.
CAAAUUCUUUUUUUCUAAAUAUAAAUCCAACGGCUAAGAUCUGCACCCAUUCUAGCAGACCCCACACCACAUUAUUACACUUGAUUUCACAGAUUUAAUACACAGUUAUCUGUUGUAUGUAUAUAUCAUCAGCAUCAUAAAAUCUACAUCUAUUAUGCUACACACCAUCAACAGCUUGCAACGAUUGAUCACCACAACAAUAUAAUUUAAUUCACCCAAAAAAUUUAGAAAAAAAAAAAACAGCCAAUAUAAUUUAAUUCACCCAAAAAAUUUAGUCUACAUCUAUUAUGCUACACACCAUCAACAGCUUGCAACGAUUGAUCACCACAACAAUAUAAUUUAAUUCACCCAAAAAAUUUAGAAAAAAAAAAAACAGCCAUAUGAUUGAUUAUCAAGCGGACUCAUCGGGAUGCUGAAUAGUAGAAGUAGUAGUACUAAAACCAUUUUCCUUUUUUACCCUCGGUUGAAUCCCAUAAUAACUAACGUACCAUUUGACGAACUUCCUCAGGCCGGCGGCCAGAUCAGUGGUGGGCUUGUACCCGAAGUCUUUGUAAGCCAAGCUCACGUUGGCAUGCGUAUACGGCACGUCCCCAUUUCUCGGCAUUCUUAUCACAUGCUUUUUGGCCUUAG